UUGACCUCGAAUCAGGUAGGAAUACCCGCUGAACUUAAGCAUAUCAAUAAGCGGAGGAAAAGAAACCAACAGGGAUUGCCCC
This 82-nucleotide ribosomal RNA is filed under the name Cordyceps sp. HB0201. Its description in RNAcentral is "partial 26S ribosomal RNA". It matches the Rfam family "Eukaryotic large subunit ribosomal RNA", at positions 1 to 81 of the family's 3401-position model. Lineage: Eukaryota; Fungi; Ascomycota; Sordariomycetes; Hypocreales; Cordycipitaceae. The record is from RNAcentral.